RNAcentral lists this long non-coding RNA (606 nucleotides) under Anas platyrhynchos platyrhynchos (common mallard). Its description in RNAcentral is "lncRNA (ENSAPLG00000030084.1)". Lineage: Eukaryota; Metazoa; Chordata; Aves; Anseriformes; Anatidae. The record is from RNAcentral.
CAUUAUUAUUAUUUUUUCAGUGCUGGUAGCUUAUAUGGCUUAUUUUAAACAAGCAAACAGAGAAAAACAUGACACUUCAAUGCUCUUAUUUUAGGACUUGUUAUAUCCAUCCCACCUUGCUGUUAACAGUCCUGAUUCAGGGACUGCGAUUUCAGAGCAGGACUCAACAUUCUUGCAAAGGCAUGAUUUCAACUGGAAAACAGUUCUCUGAGACAGAGAGAACAAGAUAGAGGGAGCAAUGCUCAGCUCUGCUUCUUGCUUCUUGGACUACUUGAGCAAAAUAAUUUCUUCUUUGCAAACUGGGAGCUUUUUGUCCUGCAGUGACAGAAGUUUUACAAUAGUUAUGGAAAUUCAGUGGAGGAAAAAUGAAUUCUGGAAGAGAACAACAGCAGUACACAAAGGACAUCCUGAGGAUUAUUGGACCAUACUGGGCUCAAGGUAAUUACUACUGAACAAUCAUCAACCACUGGAUAUGGACAUGUCAACAGGAGGAACCACAACACCCUGGCUCAGCUACUCCAUGCAGCUUCAUCCCAUUUUACAGAAUGAAUACCUUGAACCAUAUAACAAAAUAAAGGCUCUACUCAGGAUAAUGGAAAUACUUUC